RNAcentral lists this ribosomal RNA (440 nucleotides) under uncultured bacterium. RNAcentral describes it as "partial 16S ribosomal RNA". It matches the Rfam family "Bacterial small subunit ribosomal RNA", at positions 338 to 795 of the family's 1533-position model. The record is from RNAcentral.
CCUACGGGUGGCAGCAGUGGGGGAUAUUGCACAAUGGGGGAAACCCUGAUGCAGCGACGCCGCGUGGGUGAAGAAGCGCCUCGGCGCGUAAAGCCCUGUCAGCAGGGAAGAAAAUGACGGUACCUGAAGAAGAAGCCCCGGCGAACUACGUGCCAGCAGCCGCGGUAAUACGUAGGGGGCAAGAGUUAUCCGGAUUUACUGGGUGUAAGGGGGGCGCAGACGGCGAUGCAAGCCAGGAGUGAAAGCCCGGGGCCCAACCCCGGGACUGCUCUUGGAACUGGGUGGCUAGAGUGCAGGGAGGGCAGGCGGAAUUCCUGGUGUAGCGGUGAAAUGCGUAGAUAUCAGGAGGAACACCGAUGGCGAAGGCAGCCUGCUGGACUGCAACUGACGUUGAGGCCCGAAGGCGUGGGGAGCGAACAGGAUUAGAUACCCCUGUAGUC